GACGAACGCUGGCGGCGUGCCUAAUACAUGCAAGUAGAACGCUGAAGGAGGAGCUUGCUUCUCUGGAUGAGUUGCGAACGGGUGAGUAACGCGUAGGUAACCUGCCUGGUAGCGGGGGAUAACUAUUGGAAACGAUAGCUAAUACCGCAUAAUAGCAGUUAUUGCAUGAUAACUGUUUGAAAGGUGCAAUUGCACCACUACCAGAUGGACCUGCGUUGUAUUAGCUAGUUGGUGGGGUAACGGCUCACCAAGGCGACGAUACAUAGCCGACCUGAGAGGGUGAUCGGCCACACUGGGACUGAGACACGGCCCAGACUCCUACGGGAGGCAGCAGUAGGGAAUCUUCGGCAAUGGACGGAAGUCUGACCGAGCAACGCCGCGUGAGUGAAGAAGGUUUUCGGAUCGUAAAAGCUCUGUUGUAAAGAGAAAGAAACGAAGUGUGAAGAAGUGGAAAAGUUCCACCACUG
RNAcentral lists this ribosomal RNA (467 nucleotides) under Streptococcus mitis. Its description in RNAcentral is "bacterial SSU rRNA". It matches the Rfam family "Bacterial small subunit ribosomal RNA", at positions 28 to 503 of the family's 1533-position model. Lineage: Bacteria; Bacillati; Bacillota; Bacilli; Lactobacillales; Streptococcaceae. The record is from RNAcentral.